RNAcentral lists this long non-coding RNA (2620 nucleotides) under Mus musculus (house mouse). Its description in RNAcentral is "long non-coding RNA chr10:75037088-75039708". The record is from RNAcentral. Lineage: Eukaryota; Metazoa; Chordata; Mammalia; Rodentia; Muridae.
GGAGUCCGGAAGUCUCUGAGCAAGCAGUGCAAAGCUCGAGGUCCCGGGAGGCUCUCGUUGCUAUGGUGAUGACUCCGCGAGGGCCUCGUGCCAGCGUUAUCGGAGGACUGGAGGAGGGUCCAGACCCCGCCCCCGACGUCGGGAUUCGGGAGCUACGAGCCAGUCCCGCGAGGCCACUGUUGCUGUGGUGAUUUGCAGCGGCCUGCGCGCCGGAACCUGGUCUUUGCAGCUUGGUGAGUCCUCUCACCCUCCCGGCUGCAGACGCGUCCUGGAGGUUAUGGUCCUGAGGCUGUCAAGCCCCCUGCCCUCCACCUACCCCCAAGCCUGAGUGUGGCCUGCAGGCCUGGUCUUCCUCAGUGAGCGUCCAUCCUGGGCCAGGCCUCUGCAGGAGCCAGGUCAGAAGAGGACAGCAGAUUUAGGAGUGGUGGUGGGGUAGAUUCUGGGUGAUGUAGGGCAGGGAAAGUGGCUAGAACCUAAAUUCACUCAGAGACUCCAACAGACUAAGGGCAAGGGACCCCUCCCUACUCUAUUCCAUAGCCAGGAUUGGGUUUUGUAUGUUUGGUUUGGUUUUUGGAUUGUUUGUUUUUUUAAUACCUCCCACAUGCCAAGGAAGUGAAUGCAAAGAAGGAGCCCCUCUUCCUAGGCAUGGGGUCACCUCCCGACUCGGCAAGAUGGGGUAUGGGCUGCCCUUCCUCCACUGUGCUGCCUACAGCGUGAAUGGCCUCUGCCUAACAAUGGUGGUAGGGAUGGAGACCCAGAUAUGUUUUAAGUCACAGGUGCAUUUUGAGAACUUGUAUGGCUUCCUGGGUCUUGUUAAAAGACAAAUAUAACAAUUUUUGCCCUAAUUGACUCUGUGAAUGUAGAAUUGGGCAACACUUCAUCCUGUGAAAUAAACUUGAGUGUUGUCUUGUUUUGCUUGGCUCCGUUUGAGUCUCUUGGUGUGACAGGCUCUCAGUGUGUCAUGGAAGGACUCCGGAACCCAUCACCCUCCUGCCUCUGCUUCCCAAGUGCUGACUGUAUAGACCCGUAUCACGACUGCACGUGGGUAGGAGUUUGAUUUUAUAGACAGAAAAAGGAAGGAGAGUAAAAAUAGUAAAAAGCAAAUUGGUUAUUUCAAAGUUACUUCAAUUGGAGGAUAAUUCAUGCCAGCUCAGGUUGACUGGUCCCCUUGACUUCCCACAGAAGUCCCAAAGAUCUCUUGUUUUGUUGGAAAACUAGCCCAUUCAGAAUUCUGUUUGAUCAUGUGACACCUAGCAUAAUCUGUUCUAGUCCGACCGACUGGGCCAUAAUGCAGAAACUACGUCUUGCAUGUUUUAUGUAAUACUCUUUACCCCACUGAUUGAGUCUGCAGAACACUGGAAGAAUGAGGUCCUCUUGGACCCCUUUGGGGCCCCCUGUGAGCCAGGACCGCAUCAUCACCAGCUUCCCUAAGGUACAGUCAUUAGAACACCUUUGUUGUUUUGUUUUGUUUUGUUUUGUUUGGGUCUGGAUAGCUUUGAUAAAAGAUCUCUACUAUCCCAGAAGCACCUGGAGUUCACUAUGUAUUCCAGAUGAGCCUUAAAGUUCCAAUCCUCCCGCCUCCCUCUCUGAAAUGCUGGGGUGACAGGAAUGUACCGCUGUUCCCAGCCCUUCUUGUCUUCUUUGCUGAUGUAACACCUCAGCCUUAGCCAGCUUGGCUAAUUUAUGCCUUCAUGCCCAGAAGUCAAACAAGUGAGCUGCAGAGGUUGAUCUAAUUUAUUAUUUUUUUAACUUAUUUAUUUAUUAUAUAUAAGUAGACUGCAGCUGUCUUCAGACACACCAGAAUAGGGCAUCAGUUCUUGUUACAGAUGGUUGUGAGCCACCAUGUGGUUGCUGGGAAUUGAACUCAGGACCUCUGGAAGAGCAGCCAGUACUCUUAACGGCUGAGCCACCUCUCCAGCUCAAUCUAAUUUCUAAGAAGCUAAAAGACUGGGUGUUGAGUUCUUCUAAAGUAGGCUAGUAGUAGCAACAGGUAGCAGCUGUAUGGCAUGGAGACUGUAAGUCACGCAGUCCUCCGUGUAAAACCCGAUGCUGUCAUAGCUGUGACCUAUGCUCACCCAAGCGCUAGGAGCUGAUGAUGCACGAAGGUAAAACCUCUAAGCACAGCUCAUGGUAAGUGUAAGCUUCCCAAGUCAGGACAUUCCUUAUUAUUCUUAUUAGCUCUCUCCAUAGGGUGGGAAUGUAACUUAGUGGGAAAGCACUGCUUUAGUAGGUAAAAAACUGUGAGUUUUAUCCCUAGCACUGUGGGGGUGGGGAGGGGGGAAGAUAUGAGAGAGAAUAUAUACACAGGGCUUUCUCCAUUGUUAGUCUACCUUUGCUUUUUGCUUAAAAGCUCCAAUCUGUUUUACAGACUAAUAUUAAUUUCAGUGGAGAAUGCCAAGUAACAUUUAUUGGGGGGCAGAGGAACAGUAUUUGCCCAUAUUACAGACACCCUUGCCCAGUAGGUAGCCACUUCUAGGAAUCUGAACUCUAUAUGUCCUGGCAUGAGUGGGGAGUGUGUGAAAGGUCAGGCAUUGUAGCCGUUAGUAUGAGCAGAAAGUCAGAUUCUGGGAUAGCAUUGGAAAUGUAAACGAGGAAAAUACCUAAUUAAAAAAAAAAAAGG